This 254-nucleotide ribosomal RNA is filed under the name uncultured bacterium. Its description in RNAcentral is "partial 16S ribosomal RNA". It matches the Rfam family "Bacterial small subunit ribosomal RNA", at positions 524 to 776 of the family's 1533-position model. The record is from RNAcentral.
UACGGGGGGAGCAAGCGUUGUUCGGAUUUACUGGGCGUAAAGGGCGCGUAGGCGGUCAGCACAAGUCAGUUGUGAAAUCUCCGGGCUUAACUCGGAAAGGUCAACUGAUACUGUGCGACUAGAGUGCAGAAGGGGCAACUGGAAUUCUCGGUGUAGCGGUGAAAUGCGUAGAUAUCGAGAGGAACACCUGCGGCGAAGGCGGGUUGCUGGGCUGACACUGACGCUGAGGCACGAAAGCUGGGGGAGCGAACAGG